UAGGAAUCUUCCACAAUGGACGCAAGUCUGAUGGAGCAACGCCGCGUGAGUGAAGAAGGUUUUCGGACCGUAAAGCUCUGUUGUUGGUGAAGAAGGAUAGAGGUAGUAACUGGCCUUUAUUUGACGGUAAUCAACCAGAAAGUCACGGCUAACUACGUGCCAGCAGCCGCGGUAAUACGUAGGUGGCAAGCGUUGUCCGGAUUUAUUGGGCGUAAAGCGAGCGCAGGCGGAAGAAUAAGUCUGAUGUGAAAGCCCUCGGCUUAACCGAGGAAUUGCAUCGGAAACUGUUUUUCUUGAGUGCAGAAGAGGAGAGUAGAACUCCAUGUGUAGCGGUGGAAUGCGUAGAUAUAUGGAAGAAUACCAGUGGCGAAGGCGGCUCUCUGGUCUGCAACUGACGCUGAGGCUCGAAAGCAUGGGUAGCGAACAGGAUUAGAUACCCUGGUAGUCCAUGCCGUAAACGAUGAGUGCUAAGUGUUGGGAGGCUUCCGCCUCUCAGUGCUGCAGCUAACGCAUUAAGCACUCCGCCUGGGGGAGUACGA
RNAcentral lists this ribosomal RNA (539 nucleotides) under uncultured bacterium. RNAcentral's name for it is "partial 16S ribosomal RNA". It matches the Rfam family "Bacterial small subunit ribosomal RNA", at positions 356 to 885 of the family's 1533-position model. The record is from RNAcentral.